UACAGAGGUGGCAAGCGUUGUUCGGAAUUACUGGGCGUAAAGGGCGAGUAGGUGGCCAUCUAAGUCAGACGUGAAAUCCCCCGGCUUAACCUGGGAACUGCGUCUGAUACUGGACGGCUUGAGUAUGGGAGAGGAACGUAGAAUUCCAGGUGUAGCGGUGAAAUGCGUAGAUAUCUGGAGGAAUACCGGUGGCGAAGGCGGCGUUCUGGACCAUUACUGACACUGAGGAACGAAAGCCAGGGGAGCAAACGGG
RNAcentral lists this ribosomal RNA (253 nucleotides) under uncultured bacterium. RNAcentral's name for it is "partial 16S ribosomal RNA". It matches the Rfam family "Bacterial small subunit ribosomal RNA", at positions 524 to 776 of the family's 1533-position model. The record is from RNAcentral.